Molecule: ribosomal RNA, 226 nt
Filed under: uncultured Flavobacterium sp.
Lineage: Bacteria; Pseudomonadati; Bacteroidota; Flavobacteriia; Flavobacteriales; Flavobacteriaceae
Description: partial 16S ribosomal RNA
Rfam family: Bacterial small subunit ribosomal RNA
Source: RNAcentral
UGCGUAGGCGGUCUUAUAAGUCAGUGGUGAAAUCCCAUCGCUCAACGAUGGAACUGCCAUUGAUACUGUAGGACUUGAAUGCUUAGGAAGUAACUAGAAUAUGUAGUGUAGCGGUGAAAUGCUUAGAUAUUACAUGGAAUACCAAUUGCGAAGGCAGGUUACUAACAAACGAUUGACGCUGAUGGACGAAAGCGUGGGGAUCAAACAGGAUUAGAUACCCGCGUUA